Fukomys damarensis (Damara mole-rat) is the source of this 3391-nucleotide long non-coding RNA. The record is from Ensembl. Lineage: Eukaryota; Metazoa; Chordata; Mammalia; Rodentia; Bathyergidae.
GGCAUGUGGUGAUAAGCUGAGGACAUCUUGGGCUCGCCACCUGAUCCUGGGAUCCUGCAUUUUCUAGCAAAGAACACUGGCAAGGAAACAGCCAAGUUAAUUUUCCAAAGGUUUAUUCCCCCAAAUCACACACCAUAGCCUGACCAAUGCUCCUAAAGAACUCCUGACAGAUGUCGGUUUUUAAUAAAGUGUAGCUGCCCCCUUUCCAAAAAUGGCUCAUUAUGGUUUUAGUAUACCCAAAUAUCACAGAAAGGAAGGCAAAAGGAAAAUACGAGAUAAAGUGAGGGAGGGAAGGAAACGCUGCCAAUCAAUAUUUACGAGAGAGACAGAGAUGGAGACACAGAGACAGACUACGCCGAUCAGUGAGCCAGCGUCAGCUAAGACUCUGGCAGAGGGGCUGGAAAGUCAGCUUCGGAGAGCUGUUGAUUGUUUUCUGGUUGAGAAGUGACGAUCAGGCCGGGAUGAAAAGUAAGCGCGGGCCGGCGCAGAGCCGGCAGCUGUAUGCUAAUGCUUGCAGAAACCAAGCCUCAGAGUCCCCCAUUAAAGCAGGCGACCAGGAGGCCACACAUCACUGAACAAAUAGGCUCUCUCUAGACAAAUAAAAUAACACACGUUGGCCAGUGGGGAGGGGGAGGGGAUAGGGGAAGAAGAGAAAGCGAGGGAGAGAAGGGAAGAGCUGGAGAGGAGACUGGGGGAGAGGAAGAGCGCCCAGCCAGGAGAGGCCGGCGACCCGGGAGGGAGAGGAGAGGGAGAAGGAGAGAGGAGGACGAGGCUGCUGGGGAGACAGCAGCCGGAGGAGCAGAGGGACGGAGGAGGAAAAGCAGCAGCACUUUCUAGAAAGUCUCUGCAGUCUCCGCUUGGAUUUCGACCUGCACUGGUCACAGCGAUCCCCGCGCAAGCCCCGACGGCAGCUGAGCAUCCGAGCACACGAGGGGCGCCCUCCAGUUCCUCAGCCGUCAGAGCAAGAACCGCAGCGGGGGCUGCAAGGGCCAGACAGAGGGCCCAGAUUGUCUCCAAAGCCCUGGCCUGUGACCUGCAGGGAAGGAGGGGCCGCCUAGGAGCUGGAGAGGGACACGUGGGUCCCUGCCGUGGAUUCCCCUACUCCUCGGUGCGGUGAAGCCCCUCAUUGGGGGCAAAUCAGCGCUCGGGGUCCCCCCAGCCAGACUCUUCUCGCCCCUACCCGGAGUUGCAGUGCGGAAAGCAGGCCGCGUGGGUGCAGAGUACUGGCACUCCGCUCUUCCAGGGGCGGACAGACUCCGAGACCCGCUGUCGCCCUCCCCGCGGGGCGCAAGGGCCGAGAAACCCAUGCAGAAGGCGGUGGACCUUCCCAGCCGGAGCCUCGAGCCGAGCAUGAAGGUCGCUGAGGUGUGGUGAGAGCAGCGGAGCUCCCUCUCCGCCCUGGGUCCUGAAAUGACUUCCCAGUUCUAAUACCUUUCGAGAGUUUCCAUUUAUUUUUACCGCACUCGUCUGAAAGCAGAGCUCAUUUCUGCUGGUGAGACUAGAACAAGAAACGGAUUCAUUGAAUCCCAGUACUAUCUCAACAGCGUUCGAUAGAUGUCCUUGGCUAUCCCGGUUAGAAUUCCCUCCCGCGGGGAUUUUGUUUUUAUUAUUUUGGUGAUGGAAGUGGUGGUGGUGGUGUGCUGGCCUCCCACCCCCAGCCUGCGUUACAAUUAGAGAAAAUGCUAUAUUUUACAGAUUAAUUAAGCGACUAACUCCCUUUAGUUGUUGAAGGAGAGGAUUACUAGGAAGACCAGAUACCAGCGAGUUAGUUGGGGACGAGAGGAGGGGCCCCCACUCUGUGCUAUUAUCCCACAACCCAGAUGGGGAUGCGUGAUUAGAAAAUAAAAUUGGCUGUCGCUGUCUCGGAAUCUCUUUCCCACUUCUAAUUUCAUCAGCGGUAUUAAUCAGCGCUCCAAAGGGCGAGGAAGUAACAUAGUGACUUUCAGACUGAACACAUUUAAUACAUUUAGACAGAUUCAUUUUAAAACUUCCCUUUUAAGGACUAGCAGUCAUCUCAGACUUUUAAAAAACAAGGACAGGACUUUUCAAAAUAUAUCCUAUUAUGUUUUUUCUCUUUCCAGUGUGCAGAGUUAAAAAAAAAAACACACACACACACACAUUGAAUCAUCGAACAUCUUUCUUUUUCGUGAAUCCCUUGCUUAACUAACCCUAACAACUCUCCCCAGCGCAAGUUAUUAUUCUGUUGGGGGGGGGCUUAACUUCCACGCCAGGGUAUUUUCAGAGGGAAACCCCAAAACAAUUAAAUACCUUCAGUGGAAUUGAGCAAAAGCAAAACUCAGCAAAACUCCAUCUGGAUGUGCACAGCUUUGCAGAAAAACGCGUUUCCUUCUUUCAAUAAAGUGACAUUUUGCUCGCAACACCUGACAUUUUAUGUGGGUUUAUUACUUGUUCCCCAGUGAUGGACGCUGGGUACCCCAAGAUUAUCUUUUGUGUUUCCCGGGUGGUGGGCAGCAGGGAGGUUGGGGGGGCUAGGUCUGAGUCCUCGCGGCUGGCGCCGGGGGCGGGGGUCCUUGCUGUUGUCUUUUCCUGGUGGCAAGGAGAAGGCUCGUCCCCUAGGCGGCCGUAGCCUGCCUCGGAGGACAGAUUGCCCCCCUCCCCCCGGCCUUCAGCACGCGUCUCUUUUGCGUCCAGAUUGGCCGCGACCGGCGCUCAAUAGCGGGAGGUUAAUUUCCUUCACAAAGGUGAAGGGGGCACGGCUCCUGGGGGCCCCCCGCGCCCAGACAGGCGGCCCCCUUUAUUCCGCAAGCCUUGAUUAGAGCCCUUGAUUUAGCAUCUGAUGUCAACCAGAAGACAAAAUGCCCGUUCGAAAUGAAAAUGCAUGAGCCGCGCCGCCGGGAGGGCGGAAGCUGGCUNNNNNNNNNNNNNNNNNNNNNNNNNNNNNNNNNNNNNNNNNNNNNNNNNNNNNNNNNNNNNNNNNNNNNNNNNNNNNNNNNNNNNNNNNNNNNNNNNNNNNNNNNNNNNNNNNNNNNUGCAAAAGAAAGACAGACAGAGAGAGAAAUAAAGUUUAGAAAAAUCUAAGUUCCUUUUAAAGCCCAGUGCAAGCAGCGCAGGGCCAAGCUAUCCUCGAACUCGGAGAGGUCACCGUCCUGGGUGCAGCGCAGACACUGCCGUCCACGGCUACCCGGUGCGCGUCCUGGGCCCCACGGGACAACGCACGACCCCGUCCUCCUUCUCUCCUCCUCCCGCCCCCCACCGGGGUGCACAAGUCCCCUCUACCCACCCACCCACAGGCUAAGGCUCGAGCCUUCCUAACACAUUUGAGGCCAUUCUCCUCCUUUGUUGCUAUUUCGCUAGCGACCCGCGGGGAGUCCCCGCCCGGGAGGGGGCGCGCAUUGUCGCUCUGAUGGACGGGCCCAUUUGGCCGCGCCGC